RNAcentral lists this ribosomal RNA (492 nucleotides) under uncultured bacterium. Its description in RNAcentral is "partial 16S ribosomal RNA". It matches the Rfam family "Bacterial small subunit ribosomal RNA", at positions 29 to 507 of the family's 1533-position model. The record is from RNAcentral.
AGUGAACGCUGGCGGUAGGCCUAACACAUGCAAGUCGAACGGCAGCACAGUAAGAGCUUGCUCUUACGGGUGGCGAGUGGCGGACGGGUGAGGAAUACAUCGGAAUCUACUUUUUCGUGGGGGAUAACGUAGGGAAACUUACGCUAAUACCGCAUACGGCCUACGGGUUAAAGCAGGGGAUCUUCGGACCUUGCGCGAUUGAAUGAGCCGAUGUCGGAUUAGCUAGUUGGCGGGGUAAAGGCCCACCAAGGCGACGAUCCGUAGCUGGUCUGAGAGGAUGAUCAGCCACACUGGAACUGAGACACGGUCCAGACUCCUACGGGAGGCAGCAGUGGGGAAUAUUGGACAAUGGGCGCAAGCCUGAUCCAGCCAUACCGCGUGGGUGAAGAAGGCCUUCGGGUUGUAAAGCCCUUUUGUUGGGAAAGAAAAGCAGCAGGUUAAUACCCCGCUGUUCUGACGGUACCCAAAGAAUAAGCACCGGCUAACUUCGUG